RNAcentral lists this long non-coding RNA (694 nucleotides) under Homo sapiens (human). RNAcentral describes it as "HSALNT0145865". Lineage: Eukaryota; Metazoa; Chordata; Mammalia; Primates; Hominidae. The record is from RNAcentral.
AGCACAGCAGGCAGGCAGGCAUUUUCCUUUCUGUCUUUCAUGUAAUGACCGUGAAAUCCCUUCCAUAAGAACAUAGAGGUUUUGUUCUGUUCUGUUUCUAUUUUCAGAACAAUAAGUCUCCAAUGCACCACCACCCACCGGAAAAAGAGCACACAGUGACUGACAAGGAGCCAGCACAGGUGCAGGAGCCACCAGUGGCCAGGACCAGUCGGGGUUCAUCUGGGACCGAGGAACCCUGGGUGGCAGGUACUAUUGGCACCAUUUUCCAGAUAAAGAAAAUGAAGUUCUAAGCAGUCAAAUGACAUGUCAAGAUCACCCAACUGAUAUUUGAGGACUGUCUGCAAUUUAAAUGUGCACAGAAUGAGACUCAGAAAGGUGGAGACUCCCAGUAAAGGAUGACAGAGGGCACAGAAGCCACCAGCAGAUUCUUUGGAAGGAAGUAACAGGAGUGGAACUUCAUUUUCCCAUGGAUUGUAAAGGGCUGGGCUCCCUUCCACCUCUUCUCACUGGCCUCCUGUUUGUACCCCUGACCUCUCCGGGAUCUGGAUCCCAACACUGUCUUCUGCAAUGAAAACCCUGAUUUUCUAUAUCUGGACAAAAGACUAGGACAUAACGAGAAUUUUAGCGGAAGGAACUGAGGGAGAGAGAUUGCACAGCAGACAAGGACAAAUAAAGGGAAGGUGGAAACAAGGGU